GCCAUUUUACCAAGAAAGUUGGGUUUCUUUUACUGGCAAAUAGUACUUCAAGAGCACAGUCUUAUGUGAGCAUGACCCAUCCGCCUGGCACCAGCACCUGGGGCUGCCAGGCAGCCACCCCUGCAGCUGUGUUGACAGGGCCUGGCAGAGGGACUGACCCACCUUUGGAAAAUGACACCAGCAAUAUCAGGAUGUGUCAACUGGAUUUAUGUUAAGAAAAUAGGAUUUUUGGCGUUCCUCUGUUUCCCAAAGUUUGAGACACUUUCAGACACUCUGCUUUGCGGUUGUGGCCGAUGUUACCCAUGGGUGGGACUUUUGCUUUGCUCUAGAUUUUUGUAAUACCCUGGGGAGUUUCAGGGGCCAAUGCUGAGAGAAGACCACAGGCUGACGCAUCAUGAGGUGCCUAACUUACUGAGAAUCAUGCCUGCUGUGAUGCGCCCUUGAAAAUCAUCAGGACUGGAUGGUAGGGGUCCUGAGAGGAUUGGGGGAGGAGGCCCUGAUAUGACAGAGUGGACAGAGGCUGUGGAACCCAGGAUGGCCAGCCUGCUCCACAAUCCUCAUCCCUACAGACCUUCCUGUGUGGCUCCUAAAUAAGAGGAAACCCACUCCUGAUAAGUCAGGAGCUUU
RNAcentral lists this non-coding RNA (627 nucleotides) under Pongo abelii (Sumatran orangutan). Lineage: Eukaryota; Metazoa; Chordata; Mammalia; Primates; Hominidae. The record is from RNAcentral.